GGUUCCAUAGUGUAGCAGUUAGCACAAAUACUUUACAAGCAGAAAGUCCUGGGUUCGCACCCCAGUGGAGCCA
RNAcentral lists this transfer RNA (73 nucleotides) under Pteropus alecto (black flying fox). It matches the Rfam family "tRNA". Rfam says of the family: Transfer RNA (tRNA) molecules are approximately 80 nucleotides in length. Lineage: Eukaryota; Metazoa; Chordata; Mammalia; Chiroptera; Pteropodidae. The record is from Rfam by way of RNAcentral.